UUCGUCAGAAGACUUCCAGGAAGUCCAGACGACUUCCUGGAAGUCGUCUAGCGCAUUAUAUUUUAGACGACUAACAAGUAAGUCGUCCCAGAAGUCUUCCAGAUCUGAAAAACCUGCAUAUCCAAAUCAAGAUCUGAAAAACAUGCAUAUCCAAAAACGUUCAAAUGGCUUAAAAACAGAGAAAAUGAGUGGAAGAUAAGAUAAAUCUACCUUUAUAGAACACACAAAAAUACAUAUCUAAUAUUGAUAGAUGUAUCUUUAAAUGAGUGGAAGAUGAGAAUCAUGUGAUGAAAAACCUGCAAAAACAAGAUAAAUUAGUGAGAAAGACAUGAGACAAAAACAAUAAAUUGAUAUAAAGCUUAGUGUUUAUAAGUUCAAAGAGAUAAGAUAGAGUUUGAAGAGUUUUAGAAUGUUGAACAUUACAUUUUUGUUGCAGCCAUUUGAGAGGAGGAGAGAGAAUGUGUAAAUUUUUCUUUAUAUAGGGAGACAAAAAAUCCAAUUUGGUGAAAAUAUUUUUGGUUCAGACGACUUCCUAGACGAGUUACUUGUAAGUCGCCCAGAAAACUUUAAUAUUUUUAGCGGAAAAUUAAAAUAUUUUUAGCGGGAACUAAAAUAGAAGACUGCCCACACAACUUACAUGUAAGUCG
This 647-nucleotide long non-coding RNA is filed under the name Brassica napus (rape). RNAcentral describes it as "long non-coding RNA (BNAP_LNC010044)". Lineage: Eukaryota; Viridiplantae; Streptophyta; Magnoliopsida; Brassicales; Brassicaceae. The record is from RNAcentral.